Molecule: long non-coding RNA, 564 nt
Organism: Bos taurus (domestic cattle)
Lineage: Eukaryota; Metazoa; Chordata; Mammalia; Artiodactyla; Bovidae
Source: Ensembl
GAGAUUCUCACCUGAGUCUCUCUGAGCAUCAGACUUAUCUUCUCUAAAACAGUAACUUCUAUUCAGCAGGACUAUUGUGAAGAUUAGUGAUGUAAGGCUGUACAACCCUGGUUCCUUUAAGUGCUCCUCACGUGAACAUUUUAGAGUUCAAGCCAUAUCAGAACUAAGAAGAGACUGUUAAGUUUAGCAGUUAUUGGUUCAGUGGUGACUUUCCAUAAGAGGUGUGUUUGAAUCACAGCGGACCUCCUGUUGGAGAGGUAGUAUGGAGGAAAAGGAAGAGGAUGAGGAAGAGGAGGGCUGCACUUGGGGGUCGGACGACCCCGCUUUGAAUCUUUGCUCCACAGUAAAUCUCCUACAUAUGAACCUUCAAGUUGCGAAUUUUCAAAGAUGAGAACACAUGUUCCGUCAGUGUCAGGCGUGAGGGAAAUGGCAACUUGCCCUUCCUCUCCUAUUGCCGCUGAUCCUUCAACGCUACCAUCUCUCACCUCCUCUCCCUCCUCUGGUCGGUAACUCUUCUUCUCUGUUCAUUCAAUGUCAGCCCCUGUAUGCAAGCUGUUGUACUGU